UACGUAGGGGGCUAGCGUUGUUCGGAAUUACUGGGCGUAAAGCGCACGUAGGCGGCUUUGUAAGUUAGAGGUGAAAGCCCGGGGCUCAACUCCGGAAUUGCCCUUAAGACUGCAUCGCUAGAAUUGUGGAGAGGUAAGUGGAAUUCCGAGUGUAGAGGUGAAAUUCGUAGAUAUUCGGAAGAACACCAGUGGCGAAGGCGACUUACUGGACACAUAUUGACGCUGAGGUGCGAAAGCGUGGGGAGCAAACAGG
RNAcentral lists this ribosomal RNA (253 nucleotides) under uncultured bacterium. RNAcentral's name for it is "partial 16S ribosomal RNA". It matches the Rfam family "Bacterial small subunit ribosomal RNA", at positions 524 to 776 of the family's 1533-position model. The record is from RNAcentral.